RNAcentral lists this long non-coding RNA (907 nucleotides) under Ailuropoda melanoleuca (giant panda). Its description in RNAcentral is "lncRNA (ENSAMEG00000030350.1)". Lineage: Eukaryota; Metazoa; Chordata; Mammalia; Carnivora; Ursidae. The record is from RNAcentral.
AUUUGUUAUUUUGGGGUGUAUGCGGUGUGUGUGUGUGUGUGUGUGUGUGUGUGUGUGUGUGUGAUCUCAUAUUGGCACGUUAAAGCAAUGGAAAGAACACCGGACUGGUGUCCCAGAGGCUUGAGUCCAAAUCCUGUUCUGGGGAUUCUUAGCCAUGGGACACUAGUUAAGUCCCCUAGUCUCUGCAGGGUUCACAACUCUAAGAUGAAUGAAUUGUACUCUUUCAGGUCUUCUGACUCUUGAGUUCCGUGAUGUGUUAUUGACCUGAAGUCUGUUUUAUGAUUAAGCCAAGCGCCCAUUAUUAAAAUCCACAAAUGGAGUCUAUUAUACAUGCCUACAAAGGCAAAGCUGACUUCCAAGACCGUUGGCCUAAACUGAAAUUUCAAGCAAAACCUGGUGCUGCAAAUACUGUUGUUUCUUGCUCCUUUCCUGAGGUUGAGAGGAGGGAAGAGAAAAAAACUGAAGAGGAACAGAAAAGCAAGGAGAAGACAGAGGAGGAUACAAGAAAGGUGAGCCACAAGAAAAUAGAAUAAUAGGGGCGCCUGGGUGGCACAGCGGUUAAGCGUCUGCCUUCAGCUCAGAGCGUGAUCCCAGCGUUAUGGGAUCGAGCCCCACAUCAGGCUCUUCUGCUGUGGGCCUGCUUCUUCCUCUCCCAUUCCCCCUGCUUGUGUUCCCUCUCUCGCUGGCUGUCUCUAUCUCUGGUCAAAUAAAUAAAUAAAAUCUUAAAAAAAAAAAAAAAAGAAAAUAGAAUAAUAGCCUUGGCUCUUUGGUGAUUUACUAUUUAUAUAUAAGAAUCCACACAUACAAGAUUUUUUGCUUUUUAGCCAAAGCAUGUCCUUUAGAAAUUUAGGGGAUCCCUCCCUUCCCCUUAUUCAAUAUUCAGUGAAGAGAAAAUACUGGCUAGUUG